This 292-nucleotide ribosomal RNA is filed under the name uncultured bacterium. RNAcentral describes it as "partial 16S ribosomal RNA". The record is from RNAcentral.
GGACUACUGGGGUUUCUAAUCCUGUUUGCUCCCCUAGCUUUCGCAGCUCAGCGUCAGUGAUGGCCCAGAUACCUGCUUUCGCCAUAGGUAUUCCUCCCGAUAUCUACGCAUUUCACCGCUACACCGGGAAUUCCAGUAUCCCCUACCACACUCCAGUCCGGUAGUUUCCCUUGGCCUCUCCCAGUUGAGCCGGGAGCUUUCACAAAAGACUUACCGAACCGCCUACCUGCGCUUUACGCCUAGUGAUUCCGAGUAUCGCUUGCCACCUACGUAUUACCGCGGCGGCUGGCAC